GACGAACGCUGGCGGCGUGCUUAACACAUGCCAGUCGAACGGAAAGGCCCUGCUUUUGUGGGGUGCUCGAGUGGCGAACGGGUGAGUAACACGUGAGUAACCUGCCCUUGACUUUGGGAUAACUUCAGGAAACUGGGGCUAAUACCGGAUAGGAGCUCCUGCUGCAUGGUGGGGGUUGGAAAGUUUCGGCGGUUGGGGAUGGACUCGCGGCUUAUCAGCUUGUUGGUGGGGUAGUGGCUUACCAAGGCUUUGACGGGUAGCCGGCCUGAGAGGGUGACCGGCCACAUUGGGACUGAGAUACGGCCCAGACUCCUACGGGAGGCAGCAGUGGGGAAUAUUGCACAAUGGGCGGAAGCCUGAUGCAGCAACGCCGCGUGCGGGAUGACAGACUUCGGGUUGUAAACCGCUUUCGCCUGUGACGAAGCGUGAGUGACGGUAAUGGGUAAAGAAGCACCGGCUAACUACGUG
Molecule: ribosomal RNA, 468 nt
Filed under: uncultured bacterium
Lineage: Bacteria
Description: partial 16S ribosomal RNA
Rfam family: Bacterial small subunit ribosomal RNA
Source: RNAcentral